This 442-nucleotide ribosomal RNA is filed under the name Thrips sp. Its description in RNAcentral is "partial small subunit ribosomal RNA". It matches the Rfam family "Eukaryotic small subunit ribosomal RNA", at positions 587 to 975 of the family's 1831-position model. The record is from RNAcentral. Lineage: Eukaryota; Metazoa; Arthropoda; Insecta; Thysanoptera; Thripidae.
AGCUCAGUUAGCGUAUUUCAAAGUUGUUGCGGUUAAAAAGCUCGUAGUUGGAUCUGUGUCUCGCACCGCCGGUUCACCGCCCGUCGGUGUUUAAACUGGCGCGCUGCGAGAUGUCCUGCCGGUGGUGCGUCUAGCUAUCCCCUUCGGGGGCAUGGGCGGCGCCGAGCAAAUCCCUUCGCGGUGCUCUUUAUCGAGUGUCGAGGUGGGCCGGCACGUUUACUUUGAACAAAUUAGAGUGCUCAAAGCAGGCUGAUGACGCCUGAAUAUAUCUGCAUGGAAUAAUGGAAUAGGACUUCGGUUCUAUUUUGUUUGGUUUUCGGAACCAGAAGUAAUGAUAAAUGGAGACAGGCGGGGGCAUUCGUAUUGCGACGUUAGAGGUGAAAUUCUUGGAUCGUCGCAAGACGGACUGAAGCGAAAGCAUUUGCCAAGGAUGUUCUCGUUG